Non-coding RNA from Arachis ipaensis, 627 nucleotides. Lineage: Eukaryota; Viridiplantae; Streptophyta; Magnoliopsida; Fabales; Fabaceae. The record is from RefSeq and is a predicted model, not a curated record.
ACAAUAAAUCAGAAAGCGGAAGCACGGCAAGAAGAAGAGAGGAGAGGGGAAGGAAGGAAAGAAAGGACGACGCCGGCUAGGGCUUCGCUGUCGUCGUCGAGCGCCAGUGACAGAGAGCUCGAGGAAGAGAGAAAACGCGAUGGAAGAGAGAAGAAGGGGGUGCUCCGUCGCCGCUGAAGCUCCACCGCCACUGCUAGGGGUUGCUGUGCCGCCGCGAAGGAGCUCGAAGGGAGUACUCUCUGUCACCAGUUCGAAGGUGUGUAUGGUUUUGAUAGUGAUGAUGAACUGCAAUGGCUAAUUGAGAUAGAGAAGGCCACAAGCAGAACUAGAUCGCUAUUUGGAAGCUUCACAAAUUAGGGAGAGAGCAGUUGACAGGAUUAAUAAUGUUAUUGGAACAUACAACGAUUUGAGGCUCAGAAUAUUUUCUAAACACCCAGAUUUGUUCCCUGAAGAGGUGAGUAUCAUUCACUGGAAGAGAUCAGACUUUUAAAGAAAGUACUGAUGUUUCAGAGGAAGUGUUUGAGCAUUUUGAUGAUUUCACUGUAGCUUCUUCAUGGGAAAGGUUCAUUUCUAAAAUUGAGGCAAUUUGUCGUCUCUGGAUGGCUGAUGGUCCUAAUAAUUUAUUGG